This 321-nucleotide small nuclear RNA is filed under the name Cebus imitator (Panamanian white-faced capuchin). Its description in RNAcentral is "7SK RNA (ENSCCAG00000008947.1)". It matches the Rfam family "7SK RNA". Rfam says of the family: 7SK was discovered as an abundant small nuclear RNA in the mid-70s but a possible function has only recently been suggested. Two independent studies have found that 7SK RNA binds the CDK9/cyclin T complex (known as elongation factor P-TEFb). P-TEFb activates transcription by phosphorylating the C-terminal domain of RNA polymerase II. The record is from RNAcentral. Lineage: Eukaryota; Metazoa; Chordata; Mammalia; Primates; Cebidae.
GGAUGUAACAAUGAUCUGGCUGCAACAUCUGUCACCCCACAGAUCGCCAGGGUUGAUUUGGCUGAUUUGGCUGGCUAGGUGGGUGUCCCCUUCCUCGCUCACUGCUCCAUGGGUGUUCCAACCAAAGCUGCACACUCAGUUGAAGAGGACAACCAUCCCCGAUAGAGGAUAACUGGUCUUCCGUCAAGGGUAUACAAGUAGCUGCACUCCCUUGCUAGAACCUCCAAACAAGCUUUCAGUUGCCGCAACCAGAAAAAAUAAAUAAAUAAACUCUUGCCUAUUUCUACCAUAAAAGUUCUUCUGAAAUAAUGUUUUUAAAAU